CCCUUAGACGUUCUGGGCCGCACGCGCGCUACACUGAACAGUUCAACAAGUCUUAACCUUGGCCGAUAGGUCUGGGUAAUCUUUGAACGCUGUUCGUGAUUGGGAUAGACCUUUGCAAUUAUGGGUCUUCAACGAGGAAUUCCUAGUAAACGCAAGUCAUCAGCUUGCAUUGAUUACGUCCCUGCCCUUUGUACACACCGCCCGUCGCACCUACCGAUUGAAUGGUCCGGUGAAUAAUUCGGACUGCAGCACUGCUUGGUCUCCAGGCUUUGCAGCGGAAAGUUUAGUGAACCUUAUCACUUAGAGGAAGGAGAAGUCGUAACA
This 324-nucleotide ribosomal RNA is filed under the name uncultured eukaryote. RNAcentral's name for it is "partial 18S ribosomal RNA". It matches the Rfam family "Eukaryotic small subunit ribosomal RNA", at positions 1470 to 1796 of the family's 1831-position model. The record is from RNAcentral.